Eubalaena glacialis (North Atlantic right whale) is the source of this 1822-nucleotide long non-coding RNA. RefSeq lists it as uncharacterized. The transcript has 3 exons. The record is from RefSeq and is a predicted model, not a curated record. NCBI's taxonomy places the organism in Eukaryota, Metazoa, Chordata, Mammalia, Artiodactyla, Balaenidae.
GGCCGGCCGCGCAGGCGCACUGACAGCUCAGGCCUUGGGGCCAGGCAGGCCACCCACUUCAGGCCCCCAACCCCCGGUCCCGGCGCAGGCGCAGUGACCGCCCAAUGACCCCUAGCCCCACCCGCGCGUUUACGCUAAAGCGAGUGAGUAGAAGCAGAAAUGAGGGUGGUGUUGAUAAGGGCGGGGGCCGGGAAAGAGUGUGCCCAGGACAUCCCGCUACAGUCCAGAGCAGGGGCUCUUCUGGUGAACUGAACUUCACACUUGAAACUGAUUAUUGUUGGACAUUACAUGGUGUCAGAAGUGGGAGCCAAAGUGGGAGCCAAAGUGACUACCCCUGGAGCUGCUGCAGGCACAAGUAAGGCACCUACAGGAGUCCUUUGUACUCAAUCGUCUCCUCAGUGGUCUUGGGUCUUAGAGGUGAGAAGAUCUGCUCCAAAACAGAAACAGGAAAUGAGAAUGUUUCACAUGGCAAAGGAAGAGAGAAGCUUAAGGAAGACAGCCCAGGACUUCCCAGAAUACGGAGGAUAUAAAUCUGUCACCUCAAGAUUAAUAUCAAAAGACACAGUAUAGCUUACAGAUUAAAAUUGAGCUGUAGUCCAUCCAAGGGUGAAUGGAUAAACAAAAUGUGGUCUAUACACACAAUAGAAUAUUACUCAUCCUUAAAAAGAAGGAAAUUCUGACACAUGCUACAACAUGCAUGAACCUUGACGAUAUUAUGCUAAGUGAAAUAAGCCAGGCACAAAAGCAAAAAUACUGUAUGAUUUCACUUAGAUGAAGUAUCGAAAGUAGUCAAAAUAAUAGAAACAGAACGUAGAAUGGUGGUUGCCAGGGGCAGGGAGGGAGGGGAAAAAGGGAGUUGUUGUUUAAUGGGUAUAGAGUUUCAGUUUUGCAAGAUUUUUGAAAAAGUUCUGGAGAUUGGUUGCACAACAAUGUGAAUGUUAAUGCCACUAAACUGUAUACUUAAAAUGAUUAAAUGGUAAGUUUUAUACAUAUUUUACCACACAAAAACCCCCUAAUUUCAUUGAAUUAAAAAAAAAAAUUGGGGAACCAGAGUGCUUGGGUUUGACUCUUGAGACCUUGGGCAAGUUACUUAAAAUCUAUGAGCUCUAAUUUCCUCCUCUGUAAAGUUUUGUUACAGGGCUUUAUGAGAAUUGAGUCUGGCACAUAGAAAAUGCUUAAUACAUGUGAGAUAUAAUUAUUAUAAAAAGCAACCCUGGGACUUCCCUGGUGGUCCAGUGGUUAGGACUCCGUGCUUCCACUGCAGGGGGCGAGGGUUUGACCCUUGGUCGGGGAAUUAAGCUCCCGCAUGCCGCGCAGUGCGGCAAAAAAAAACCCCAAAAUCAAGACAAACCAACCCCCAAAAUAAAAACAAAAAAUGUCCCUAAGCCUCUUUCUUCAAUUCACGAAUUUGACAAAUGUCAAGCCCAUACUUCCUUCAAUGCAUCAUUCUACACUCUGGGAAAACUACAGAAAAAAUGUUCCACCUACAUGGAGCUUAAUUACUAGUGGUGGAUUCAGAUAAUACAUGAGUAGAUUAUAAAUUCUGGGAAGAAAAAUAAAACAUGUUAAGAGUAUAGGAAAGGCUGGGAAGUGCUGUGACCUGACACUUGAGCAGAACCCAAAUGAAGUAAGGAGCCUGUGGGGUACUCCACUGUGUAAUGAAUAUCUACUAUUUUAACAACCUUGUAUCAUAAUGUUAUAGAUUAAAUACUGCCUAAUUCUUAACUUUGCAAACAUUAGCCUCACUAAACAAAAUUUAUUCCAAAUGCCAGUAUCUGAAACAAAUUCAGCAAAGAAAUAAAAAAAAUCCAAAACCUUUCAA